AUUGAACGCUGGCGGCAGGCCUAACACAUGCAAGUCGAGCGGAUGAAGGGAGCUUGCUCCUGGAUUCAGCGGCGGACGGGUGAGUAAUGCCUAGGAAUCUGCCUGGUAGUGGGGGAUAACGUCCGGAAACGGGCGCUAAUACCGCAUACGUCCUGAGGGAGAAAGUGGGGGAUCUUCGGACCUCACGCUAUCAGAUGAGCCUAGGUCGGAUUAGCUAGUUGGUGGGGUAAAGGCCUACCAAGGCGACGAUCCGUAACUGGUCUGAGAGGAUGAUCAGUCACACUGGAACUGAGAAACGGUCCAGACUCCUACGGGAGGCAGCAGUGGGGAAUAUUGGACAAUGGGCGAAAGCCUGAUCCAGCCAUGCCGCGUGUGUGAAGAAGGUCUUCGGAUUGUAAAGCACUUUAAGUUGGGAGGAAGGGCAGUAAGUUAAUACCUUGCUGUUUUGACGUUACCAACAGAGUAAGCACCGGCUAACUUCGUG
This 484-nucleotide ribosomal RNA is filed under the name uncultured bacterium. Its description in RNAcentral is "partial 16S ribosomal RNA". It matches the Rfam family "Bacterial small subunit ribosomal RNA", at positions 30 to 507 of the family's 1533-position model. The record is from RNAcentral.